Grus americana (Whooping crane) is the source of this 156-nucleotide long non-coding RNA. RefSeq lists it as uncharacterized. The record is from RefSeq and is a predicted model, not a curated record. The transcript is spliced from 3 exons. Lineage: Eukaryota; Metazoa; Chordata; Aves; Gruiformes; Gruidae.
GAGAGAGAGGAAGCGCACCAAAGAGCAGCACAGGAGGGGAGCAGAGCGCCAUAAGGAGGUGCAAAGGUGGAUAUGGACCCCGUAGGACACAGACACGGGAGGUGACUCGGGCCAGGUGGGGCGCAAGGACGGCAGCCCAAAACGACGGAGGCCAGG